RNAcentral lists this ribosomal RNA (497 nucleotides) under uncultured bacterium. RNAcentral describes it as "partial 16S ribosomal RNA". It matches the Rfam family "Bacterial small subunit ribosomal RNA", at positions 28 to 507 of the family's 1533-position model. The record is from RNAcentral.
GAUGAACGCUGGCGGCGUGCCUAAUACAUGCAAGUCGAGCGAACAGACGAGGAGCUUGCUCCUCUGACGUUAUCGGCGGACGGGUGAGUAACACGUGGAUAACCUACCUAUAAGACUGGGAUAACUUCGGGGAACCGGAGCUAAUACCGGAUGAUAUAUUGAACCGCAUGGUUCAAUAGUGAAAGACGGUUUUGCUGUCACUUAUAGAUGGAUCCGCGCCGCAUUAGCUAGUUGGUAAGGUAACGGCUUAACAAGGCAACGAUGCGUAGCCGCCCUGAGAGGGUGGUCGGCCACACUGGAAGUGAGACACGGUCCAGACUCCUACGGUAGGCAGCAGUAGGGAAUCUUCCGCGAUGGGCGAAAGCCGGACGGAGCAACGCCGCGGGAGUGAUGAAGGUCUUCGGAUCGUAAAACUCUGUUAUUAGUAAAGAACAAAUGUGUAAGUAACUAUGCACGUAUUGACGGUACCGAAUCAGAAAGCCACGGCUAACUACGUG